AGCUCCAAUAGCGUAUAUUAACGUUGUUGCAGUUAAAAAGCUCGUAGUUGGAUUUCUGGUAAGCUGCGCCUGGCCCGUCGCAAUCAUGCGUAUGUGUGCCGGAGCGCGGUUGCCAUCCAUCUAGAAAACCUUUUCUCUCUUCACUGAGUGGUCUGGGGAUCUAGAUCUUUUACUUUGAAAAAAUUAGAGUGUUUAAAGCAGGCUUGCGCUAUGAAUACAUUAGCAUGGAAUAAUAAUUUAGGACUUCGGUCUUAUUUUGUUGGUUUCUAAGAUUGAAGUAAUGAUUGAUAGAGAUAGUUGGGGGUGCUAGUAUUCAGUGGCCAGAGGUGAAAUUCUUGGAUUCGCUGAAGACUAACUUAUGCGAAAGCAUUCACCAAGGAUGUCUUCUUUAAUCAAGAAC
RNAcentral lists this ribosomal RNA (400 nucleotides) under phytoplankton environmental sample. RNAcentral's name for it is "partial small subunit ribosomal RNA". It matches the Rfam family "Eukaryotic small subunit ribosomal RNA", at positions 587 to 984 of the family's 1831-position model. The record is from RNAcentral.